UGGGUACAUAGUCAUUGUCAUUUUCGGCGCUUAUAAAAGCGACCGACAUGUUUCAGUCGUAUGCCUGUAUCCAUGUCUCUUCUGCGCUUUUUAUUAAAAAAAGAUAUGUAUAGAGUAAUAGUAAUUGAAAUAUUUGACUGCUUCGUCAUGUUUUUGAGAAUUAUAUGAAAUAUGUAGUUUUGUAUCUUUUUGAAUUUGUUGCUCAUAUUUCAGUACUAUUAUGCUCUGCAGAUCGAGAUUCUCUGACAUGGCUACAUGAUAAACAACUUCCACUAUAUCAGUUUUAGUAAUAUUGAAUGAUUUUAAAAGAUAUGCUCCAAACAAUUUGUGUCCAUGCUCCCUAUGAACAUAAAACCAUAAAUGUUUUCCCGAUAUGCAUGUUAGAAAAUCAGCAAUAGACUUGUGUAAAAAUGACAUAUAGCCACUUGUAUAUACGAGAAAAUGCCCAAGCUCAUUACCAAUCACGCGUUCCAUAUUUCUUCUAUUUUCUGAUGAAAUGUUUGCAACUUCAAAAAUCUCAUCCUCCGUCAUUGGUUUGGUCAUAGUACAUAAAACCUCAACUAUUGGUCUCAAUUCUUCAUAUAGACUAUAUUUACCCUCAAAAGCUCUCUCAAAAUUCAUCCGAUAAUUUUUUUCCAAUGAAGAUGGCAUAUAUGUAAAAUCGCAGUCAUUAAAUUUUUGACAGGAUUGAAGAUAGUACUUAACGUGGAGAAAAUUUCCUUUAGCAACACUUGUCAGGAGGUGAAUUUGUGCCUCUGUUAGAAGACUUGCUUGUCGAAUGUAUUGUGCGG
Molecule: long non-coding RNA, 791 nt
Filed under: Mytilus galloprovincialis (Mediterranean mussel)
Lineage: Eukaryota; Metazoa; Mollusca; Bivalvia; Mytilida; Mytilidae
Source: RNAcentral